RNAcentral lists this transfer RNA (114 nucleotides) under Hyphomicrobiales bacterium. RNAcentral's name for it is "tRNA-Lys". The record is from RNAcentral. Lineage: Bacteria; Pseudomonadati; Pseudomonadota; Alphaproteobacteria; Hyphomicrobiales.
GAAAUUUCGUUGGCUGGUAGACAUUUUUUAACCCCCAAUUUCAUUGUAAUAAUUAACAACUUAAUGUGACUUUUAAUCAGUCGGUCGAUGGUUCGAACCCAUCGGGGUUCACCA